This 469-nucleotide ribosomal RNA is filed under the name uncultured bacterium. Its description in RNAcentral is "bacterial SSU rRNA". It matches the Rfam family "Bacterial small subunit ribosomal RNA", at positions 34 to 498 of the family's 1533-position model. The record is from RNAcentral.
CGCUGGCGGCAUGCCUUACACAUGCAAGUCGAACGGCAGCACGGAGCUUGCUCUGGUGGCGAGUGGCGAACGGGUGAGUAAUAUAUCGGAACGUACCCAGGAGUGGGGGAUAACGUAGCGAAAGUUACGCUAAUACCGCAUACGACCCAAGGGUGAAAGUGGGGGAUCGCAAGACCUCAUGCUCAUGGAGCGGCCGAUAUCUGAUUAGCUAGUUGGUGGGGUAAAGGCCUACCAAGGCAACGAUCAGUAGCUGGUCUGAGAGGACGACCAGCCACACUGGAACUGAGACACGGUCCAGACUCCUACGGGAGGCAGCAGUGGGGAAUUUUGGACAAUGGGGGCAACCCUGAUCCAGCAAUGCCGCGUGAGUGAAGAAGGCCUUCGGGUUGUAAAGCUCUUUUGUCAGGGAAGAAACGGUUGAGGCUAAUACCCUCGACUAAUGACGGUACCUGAAGAAUAAGCACCGGCU